GACGUUGAUUGCAACGGGUUGAGUGGUGGUCUUGCUCUAUUCUGGCAUGAAUCAUAUGAGGUGGUGAUUUUGGACAAGGAGGAGAGGUUCAUUGAUGCCAUAGUGCGUGUUCAGGAGGGUGCAGCCCAAUGGAGAGUUACAUGUGUUUAUGGGGAACCGAGAGUGGAGAAUCGGCAUGUCAUGUGGGAGAAGAUGCAGCGCCUGAAAAAUAUCAAUGAUCUUCCGUGGUUGGUAAUUGGCGAUUUUAAUGAAGCCCUGUGGAAUUAUGAACACCUAUCAGCUACACCACGGGCGGAGGCUCAGAUGGUUGCAUUUCGGGACGUCUUGGAGACGUGUGAUCUCGUGGAUCUUGGGUUUACG
RNAcentral lists this ribosomal RNA (360 nucleotides) under Triticum aestivum (bread wheat). RNAcentral's name for it is "partial small subunit ribosomal RNA". Lineage: Eukaryota; Viridiplantae; Streptophyta; Magnoliopsida; Poales; Poaceae. The record is from RNAcentral.